Loxodonta africana (African savanna elephant) is the source of this 2182-nucleotide long non-coding RNA. RefSeq lists it as uncharacterized. The transcript has 7 exons. The record is from RefSeq and is a predicted model, not a curated record. Lineage: Eukaryota; Metazoa; Chordata; Mammalia; Proboscidea; Elephantidae.
UUCUACACAAAUAAUUCAGUGACAGUGUUUACAGUCUUCACUGUUUACUGGUCUCGCUAAUCUUUUCCGAAUUAUUCCGCCACCACUAACAUAAAGUCACUGCCCUCUAAGCUUACCAUCUAACCAUUCAAGAUGCUGUUGUCCAUUUGAGCCCACAUAGGUAAAUCAAAAUACAGCACAAUGGUCAAGGCAGACAUACCUUACUAAUUAGGCUAAAUUGUUGUUUGGUUCAGAGCAGACGUCCAGUAAAUGUUUUGAAGUUUAAAGAUUAUCUCAGGGCAGCAGUUUUGGGUGUUCAACGAGCCUUAAUGGCUCCAGGAGAUCUGGAUUCCAUUGAGAUUUUGAAAUUCUAUUUAUUUUUCCCCCUUUUGAUCAGGAUUCUUCUACAGUAUAGAUUCACUUUUUAUUUUCAGUCUGAUUAUCUUAUGCUGUGACUCAAUUCACUUUAUUUCAGUUCCAGCUCAGAUUGGGAUGCACUGAAUUUUAGCUUCAACCACAGUACAGUAUUUGGCCAGAUUGUCUGUUAGGCGUUAGCUUUGGCCUUGGUCAUGGCUUUAAAGACUGGAUAACCAAAUGUUCCCCUUCAACAUCAUUGAUGGUGUCUUAGUUAUCUAGUGCUGCUAUAAGAGAAAUACCACAAGUGGGUGGCUUUAACAAAGAGAAAUUUAUUUUCCCACUGUCCAGUAGGCUCAAAGUCUGAAGGCUGUCUCUCCCUGUCGGCUCUGAAGGAAGAUCCUCAUGAUGCAUCAAUCUUCCGUUGGUCUGGGAGCAGCUCAGCUCAAGUCCAAAGGGCACACUAUACUCCUGGUGCUGCUUUCUUGGUGCCAAGAUCCAUCUGACAUCAGCAAUGAUAUCCUGAGUUCCACGCCUUCUACUGAAUCUGGUUUGAAUUCCUGACAGUUUCCUGUCAAUGUACCACUGCAGCCACUUUUGAGUGAUCUUCAGCAAAAUUUUACUUGCACGUGAUAUUGAUGAUAUUGUUAGAAAAUUUCCCCAUUCUGAUGGAUCACCUUUCCUUGGAACGGGCACAAAUAUGGAUCUCUUCCAUUCAGUUGGCCAGGAAGCUAUCUUCCAAAUUUCUUGGCAUAGAUGAGUGAGCGCUUCUAGAGUUGCAUCUAUUUGUUGAAACAUCUCAACUGGUAUUCCCUCAAUUCCUGGAGUCUUGUUUUUCACCGAUGCCUUCAGUGCAGCUUGGACUUCUUCCUUCAGUACCAUCAGUUCUUGAUCGUAUGCUACCUCCUGAACUGGCUGAACGUCAACUAAUUCUUUCUGAUGACGAAGCUGAGGCCAGGAAAAUUUCAGUAACUUGAUAAGAGUCACAAAAAUGCAUUCCGGCUGCCUGACUCUCAAUUUACUGUUUGCUCUAUGCCUCCACCCUUCUGCCCCCCGCUCAGAAGGAGAGUCAGGUGGAAUUUCUGCCAUAAGAGCUCACGCACCUGUCAGCAAGUUGUAUUUCGGAACAAACCUGCCCGAGAUGACAGGAAUGUAAGAGGAAACGUGCACAAUGCUCCAACACCUAACUGUGCCCAGGGAACAUGAUACAGAAAGUGGAAGCUCCACCGAAAUCAUGUGUGUAAACUGAGGACCCCACCCAGGCCUGGGGUGACCCUUUCCAGGUGCUGACAUGGACAGUCUCUGCCUGAAGCCAUCUGGGACUUUCCCUUCACACCUUUUAGCAGAAGUCGAUUGUACCCUUUUGGGAGUCUGAAGGGCUUGGACUUGGUUCAAUCCUUCUGAAGGAAAUAAAUGAUUUCAUUGCUCUGGAGCCAUAUUUUACAGAAAUGUCCCCACAAACAUGAAACCAUAGGACUUGAAAGAAGAGGAAGAAAGAGACUGGACAGAAUUGGGAAAGAAAAACCAUCUGAUCCAGAUCCCAUGACCCUUUCUGGACACAGCUCUCAAUCUGUCUGCUUCCUGAAGCCUUUUCUGACCUCCUCUGAAUAUCCACCUUAUCUUACCUGUCUUAAGGUAAGUAACACUUUCCACCUUGUUGUAUACUUGUAUAUAUCCUCUCCCCCUAACUAGUUGCCUUCAUGUCUACUCUGACUCAUGGUGACCCCAUGUGUAUUAGAGUAGAACUGUGCUCCAUAGGCUUUUCAACGGCUGAUUUUUUGGAAGUAGAUCACCAGGUCUUUCUUCCAAGGUGCCUCUCUGUGGACUUGAACCUCCAGCCUUGCAGUCA